GACGAACGCUGGCGGCGUGCUUAACACAUGCAAGUCGAACGGAAAGGCCCCUUUGGGGGUACUCGAGUGGCGGACGGGCGGGUAACACGCGAGUAAGCUGCCCUCGCCUUACGGAUAACUUCAGGAAAGUGGGGCUGAUUCCGGAUAGGUAUCCCCGCUGCCUGGUGGGGGUUGGAAAGCAUCGUCGGUUUUGGAUGGACUCGCGGCUUAUCAGCUUGUUGGUGGGGUAGUGGCUUACCAAGGCUUUGACGGGUAGCCGGCCUGAGAGGGCGACCGGACACAUUGGGACUGAGAUACGGCCCAGACUCCUACGGGGGGCAGCAGGGGGGAAUAUUGCACAAUGGGCGGAAACCUGAUGCAGCAACGCCGCGGGCGGGAUGACGGCCUUCGGGUUGUAAACCGCUUUCAGCAGGGGCGAAGCUUGUGGUGACGGUACCUGCAGAAGAAGCACCGGCUAACUACGUG
This 465-nucleotide ribosomal RNA is filed under the name uncultured bacterium. Its description in RNAcentral is "partial 16S ribosomal RNA". It matches the Rfam family "Bacterial small subunit ribosomal RNA", at positions 28 to 507 of the family's 1533-position model. The record is from RNAcentral.